GGAUGCGAUCAUACCAGCACUAAAGCACCGGAUCCCAUCAGAACUCCGAAGUUAAGUGUGCUUGGGCGAGAGUAGUACUAGAAUGGGUGACCUCCUGGGAAGUCCUCGUGUUGCAUUCC
RNAcentral lists this ribosomal RNA (119 nucleotides) under Aegilops tauschii subsp. strangulata. Lineage: Eukaryota; Viridiplantae; Streptophyta; Magnoliopsida; Poales; Poaceae. The record is from RNAcentral.